CUGCAUCUUUGACAGCCUGGGCUCUCUCUAUUGUGAGGUGUCCUGGGUUUUUAAAUUUCAGAUGCAAUAUUAAAUAUCCCUGCGCUUUCUGCACACCUUUUUUAAUGGUGUCUCGGAUUGAAGAGGGGAUGAUAAAU
Scomber japonicus (chub mackerel) is the source of this 137-nucleotide small nucleolar RNA. RefSeq annotates it as small nucleolar RNA SNORA31. NCBI's taxonomy places the organism in Eukaryota, Metazoa, Chordata, Actinopteri, Scombriformes, Scombridae. The record is from RefSeq and is a predicted model, not a curated record. The transcript has a single exon.